AACGCGGAUGGGGCUAAACCGGUUGCGUGUGAUACCCGGCAGGGGUUGCGUUUCCGGGGUUGUGGGACCGUUCGUCCAGGGUCUGCCGGCUCUGGCGCGUGAGGUGCGGGCGUAUAGGUGAACAGGUUUGAAUGCCUGACCGUAGAGGGUGUGAGUCCCGUAACCGUAAUGCGUUCCGCCGCGUGGUGGUGUGUUCCCGAGUAGCACGGGGCCCGAGAAAUCCCGUGUGAAUCUGCCAGGACCACCUGGUAAGCCUGAAUACUCCCUGAUGACCGAUAGCGGACCAGUACCGUGAGGGAAAGGUGAAAAGUACCCCGGGAGGGGAGUGAAAGAGUACCUGAAACCGUGUGCUUACAAUCCGUCAGAGCCUGGGCCCCUUCGUGGGGUGGUGGGUGAUGGCGUGCCUUUUGAAGAAUGAGCCUGCGAGUUAGUGUCACGUCGCGAGGUUAACCCGUGUGGGGGAGCCGUAGCGAAAGCGAGUCUGAACAGGGCGUUCAGUGGCGUGAUCUAGACCCGAAGCGAAGUGAUCUACCCAUGGCCAGGUUGAAGCGUCGGUAAGACGUCGUGGAGGACCGAACCCACUUCAGUUGAAAAUGGAGGGGAUGAGCUGUGGGUAGGGGUGAAAGGCCAAUCAAACUUCGUGAUAGCUGGUUCUCCCCGAAAUGCAUUUAGGUGCAGCGUUGCGUGUUUCUUGCCGGAGGUAGAGCUACUGGAUGGCUAAUGGGCCCUAUCAGGUUACUGACGUCAGCCAAACUCCGAAUGCCGGUAAGUGAGAGCGCAGCAGUGAGACCGUGGGGGAUAAGCUUCAUGGUCGAGAGGGAAACAGCCCAGACCACCGACUAAGGCCCCUAAGCGUGUGCUAAGUGGGAAAGGAUGUGGAGUUGCUUAGACAACCAGGAGGUUGGCUUAGAAGCAGCCACCCUUGAAAGAGUGCGUAAUAGCUCACUGGUCAAGUGAUUCCGCGCCGACAAUGUAGCGGGGCUCAAGUACACCGCCGAAGUCGUGGCAUUCAUACAGUCCCUAGCCUUCGUGGUUCAGGGGUGUGGAUGGGUAGGGGAGCGUCGUGUGGGCAGUGAAGCUGCGGGGUGACCUAGUGGUGGAGCCCACACGAGUGAGAAUGCAGGCAUGAGUAGCGAAAGACGGGUGAGAAACCCGUCCGCCGAAUGAUCAAGGGUUCCAGGGUCAAGCUAAUCUGCCCUGGGUGAGUCGGGACCUAAGGCGAGGCCGACAGGCGUAGUCGAUGGACAACGGGUUGAUAUUCCCGUACCGGCGAAGAACCGCCCCUACUGAUCCGGGGAUACUAACCGCCCCAACCGGUCACCGGGUUCCCUUCGGGGUGCCCACCGAUCGUGCGGCGUGGGACCUGAUCCGGGGAGGUAAGCGUAUUAACAGGUGUGACGCAGGAAGGUAGCCAGGCCGGGCGAUGGUUGUCCCGGUCCAAGCAGGUAGGCUGUCCCAUUGGCAAAUCCGUGGGGCGUGACGGCCGAGACGUGAUGGGACCCCCGUUCGGGGGAAUCUGGUGAUCCUCUGCUGCCGAGAAAAGCAUCGACGCGAGGUUCUAGCCGCCCGUACCCGAAACCGACACAGGUGAUCAGGUAGAGAAUACCAAGGCGAUCGAGAGAAUUAUGGUUAAGGAACUCGGCAAAAUGCCCCCGUAACUUCGGGAGAAGGGGGGCCUGCCCCGUGACGGCACUUCGCGUGCUCGAGCGGGUGUGGGCCGCAGAGACCAGGGGGAAGCGACUGUUUACUAAAAACACAGGUCCGUGCGAAGUCGCAAGACGAUGUAUACGGACUGACUCCUGCCCGGUGCUGGAAGGUUAAGAGGACCGGUUAGUGCCCCUCGCGGGUGCGAAGCUGGGAAUUUAAGCCCCAGUAAACGGCGGUGGUAACUAUAACCAUCCUAAGGUAGCGAAAUUCCUUGUCGGGUAAGUUCCGACCUGCACGAAUGGAGUAACGACUUCCCCGCUGUCUCAACCAUAAACUCGG
Ribosomal RNA from Tersicoccus phoenicis, 1986 nucleotides. It matches the Rfam family "Bacterial large subunit ribosomal RNA", at positions 256 to 2036 of the family's 2925-position model. NCBI's taxonomy places the organism in Bacteria, Bacillati, Actinomycetota, Actinomycetes, Micrococcales, Micrococcaceae. The record is from Rfam.